GUUUAUGUUUAAGGAGGUCCCUCUAGCUGCUGCGUGGAGAGGGAAUUAUUGGAAGCAAGAGUGGAUCCAGUCCGGCAAGCAAGGAUGGUGUGGCCAUGAGCGGUGGCCAAGGGAAUGGAGAUAAGUGGACGAAUUUGGGCGAUGUUGGGACAUGGAACGCAGAGCACCUGAUGACGGGUUCGACGUGGGACAUGGAGGAAAGGGAAGAAUCAAGGACACUUCAGGUCUCUGGACUGAACAGCUGGAGGAAUAGUGAUGCCAUAUGCUGAGAUGGGGGAUUCCUGAAGUGUGCUGGGGAUGAAAACCGUAUGCACUUUUGGCUGAGUCUGAGAUCCAAGAGUUGAUGUCAAGUAGGUGGUGUGAAGCUCAGAGGCCUGAUCUCUGCUUUAAUUUUUAGCUGCACGUAGGGGAUGUAGAUUAGGGCUGAUUUUCGUCCAGUGAUGCCGGACUCUUCUCUGGAUCUGGCCUCUGGCUCAGCGGUCGUGCUUUGGAGGGCAGUGUCUGCAUGGGAGGUGAGGGCACAGUCAGCACGCCCCUCAACUUCCGUUCAGGGCUCACGACACUCGGAAUGUCCAGGACCAGACUCAACAGCGCCACCGUGUGUCGGGAGAAGUCAUAACAGCAGUGGGCUCCCAGGCUCGCGCACCCCGCGUGGUAAGAGAGCUCAGACCACAGCCAGCGCCCUUAGAAUCCAGUUCCCACCCCUCGCUCUUUCGGACUAAAUAAAUCACUGAAGAUUCUGGACAACUUAGAGAUAGGAGAGCAAGGAAGAGCCUCAAAAGAAAAAAGUGAGCAGAUGUGAGAGGCCGCGUGAUCUUAUGCAAUCUACAAGGAAGCUGAGGUUCAGGAAGGGAAAAGAUGUGUCCCAGGUCACGGUGGAGUUAGGAUGAAAACCCGGGUGAGCCUACCAGUGAAUCGCCAACUGUGUCAGAUCCAACACGCCAUUUAACGACAAAUAUUUUACAAGGCCCUCUUGACAUCCCCAGCAUCUAGAUUGUGCCUGAUGCAUAGUAUGCACUUGGUGAGUAUUUGUAAAAGAAUGAAAUGAAAUUCGUAGCUAAUAUCCUAC
RNAcentral lists this long non-coding RNA (1069 nucleotides) under Equus asinus (donkey). Its description in RNAcentral is "lncRNA (ENSEASG00005028708.1)". The record is from RNAcentral. Lineage: Eukaryota; Metazoa; Chordata; Mammalia; Perissodactyla; Equidae.